This 276-nucleotide ribosomal RNA is filed under the name uncultured bacterium. RNAcentral's name for it is "partial 16S ribosomal RNA". It matches the Rfam family "Bacterial small subunit ribosomal RNA", at positions 335 to 626 of the family's 1533-position model. The record is from RNAcentral.
UCUACCUACGGGAGGCAGCAGUGGGGAAUAUUGCACAAUGGGGGAAACCCUGAUGCAGCAACGCCGCGUGAAGGAAGACGGUUUUCGGAUUGUAAACUUCUGUUCUUAGUGAAGAAGAAUGACGGUAGCUAAGGAGCAAGCCACGGCUAACUACGUGCCAGCAGCCGCGGUAAUACGUAGGUGGCAAGCGUUGUCCGGAAUUACUGGGUGUAAAGGGAGCGUAGACGGCGAUGCAAGUCUGAAGUGAGAGGCGGGGGGCCCAACCCCCGACUGCUU